This is a non-coding RNA of Doryrhamphus excisus (bluestripe pipefish), 2618 nucleotides long. The record is from RefSeq and is a predicted model, not a curated record. NCBI's taxonomy places the organism in Eukaryota, Metazoa, Chordata, Actinopteri, Syngnathiformes, Syngnathidae.
CGUUGUCACUCCUGAUGCUGCUGCAGUGGAUGACUUGUGGCCACAAUUGCUUCUUCUGUUUCGCUUUUUCUUUGGACACCUCAUUAGGUACACCAGAAUAAAGGCGUACAUAAAAAGAUCAUAUGCCAAAAUAACCCACUAGACCGCCGCGCGCGCAGGUUUUAGUAAUCAGCAAAAUGACAGCUAAGUUUCAGGAAAAUAUCCGUUCCUGACUAAAAAAUUGAGAAAAAUGCAUUACAUUACAGUACAAAUACAUUUCAAGCAUUAGAGCCCUCUAAAUUUGAAAUAACACCCCCAUCGUCACUUCACCAACGACCAUUCACACUCACAUUCAUACCUAUGGACAAUUUGGAGUCGGCAAUUAACCUAGCAUGUUUUUGGAAUGUGGGAGGAAACCGGAGUACCCGUAGAAAACCCACGCAUGCACGGGGAGAACAUGCAAAGUCAAGGGUGGAAUUGAACCCUGGUCUCCUAGCUGUGAGGUCUGCAUGCUAACCACUAGAUCGCCGUGCAGCCCCCCGUCUUUCAUCAGAAAAAAAGGUUUAGUAAUCAGCAAAAUAACAUAGCCAAGUUUCAGGAAAAUAUCCGUUCCUGACUAAAAAAAAAAUACAUUACAUUACAAUACAUUUCAAGCAUUAGAGCCCUCUAAAUUUGAAAUAACACCCCCAUAGUCACUUUACCAAACAACCAUUCACACUCACAUUCAUACCUAUGGACAAUUUGGAGUCGCCAAUUAACCUAGCAUGUUUUUGGAAUUUCUCCCCAUGCUUCUUCUGCUGCUCUUGUUUUUCGCUUUUUCUUUGGACACCUCAUUAGGUACACCAGAAUAAAGGCGUACAUAAAAAGAUCAUAUGCCAAAAUAACACAUUUCCAAUCAUUCAUUCAUUCAUUUUCUACCGCUUUUGAGUACAAAAAGGGUCGCGGGGGGUGUUGGAGCCUAUCCCAGCUGUCUUAGGGUGAGAGGCAGGGCACACCCUAGAUUGGUCGCCAGCCCAUCACAUGACACAUAUAGACAAACAACCAUUCACACUCACACCACUAGUCUAACCACUAGACCGCCGCGCAAAUGUGCAAAUGUUGCCAUUGUUUAACACGAGAAUACAACAUUCUAAGUACAUUUAUAGCUCAGAAAAGUGGAACAAACAUAAUAGGUCCCCAUUAAUAUGCAUAUUUAAAAAAAUAAUUAAUUAAUUAAACUAAUUUAAUUAAUUAAAAAUACAAUUGAGUGAGGGCGCAAUGUUUAAAUCGUGUUGUGGAGAGGGACAACCUAUAGCAGGGGUCGGGAACCUUUUUGACUAAGAGAGCCAUGAAGGCCAGAUAUUUUAAAAUGUGUAUCUGUGAGAGCCAUAUACAUUUUUUUAAACAUUGAAUGCAAUAAAAUGUGUGCAUUUUUAUGUAAGACCAACAGUUUUAGAUAUAAUGGGCUCUAAUUAUGUAGACCAGGCACACUACCCCACGCCAAUGGGGUGUGGCCAGCACACUUGCUGCCAUUAAUGCAACUUCUGCUGCUGCAUAGUUUUGAACCGUAUUCAGUACACGUAUUUCAUUCUUUUGGCCAUCUUCACCAGAAGGCUUGGUUCUGCAGCUUUAGCUAUUUGACUAAAGGAGGAAAGUUUACAUUUACAUGUUUUUUUGACAUCUCAAUGACCGAGGUAGACUACAGCAUUACCCAGUAAUAAUCAAGUUUUGGUGUUUGACCUGGAAAAUAUCAUCAGGAAAGGUUGGCCGUAUUGCAGCAGAAUAUAGAUGGACGAAUUAAAAUGCAUAAGAAAGUUGUUGAUUUUUAAUAUUAUUUUUAACAGUCAUUUCUGUGAUGGUUUACUUUAAAAUGUUAGCAAAAAUGCAUUUUUAUUGUGGUAAGAAAUGCUUGAGAGCCAGAUACAGUCAUCAAAAGAGCCCUACCUGGCUCCCGAGCCAUAGGUUCCCUACCUCUGACCUAUAGGGUCCCAAAAGUUGGACUGUACCAUUUUCUGGUGUGGGUGUAAUAUCCCAUUCUAACUAAAACUUCACAUAAAUUAAUUAAAAUAUACUGUACCUCAACUCAUGAGAAUUCUAAUUUGAGAUAUAUAUUAAUUAAAAAAACCUUACAAUUAAGCAAUUCUUAGCUCAAAGUAUUCAAUUUGAACGGCAACCACCUCUUCUCCCCUGGAUUGAGUACACUUCCUGAUUCCCCUGUCAUGUGAUCUGCUUCACUUCCUGCGAUAGCAGCAACAGGUGUGAAAUUAAAAUGAGGACUUUUUGCCUAAUUAAUAACGUUCUAUUUAGUACUAUGACUUUCUCCUGGAUGUACGAACCUUCACAGCUUGUUUUGCUAACGUUUGUGUCAUGUAACACUCACGGAAAGGAUUGUUUUUCAACAUUUGACCUCGAUGCCAAACGACUGACAGGCAGCUCAGAACAUCUGCCAACCUCUGGCCACGAUGGAGACGGUGGAGGCGGUGGACUGUUUGAAGCAUCUUUCUGCUCAAGUCGUUAGCUGCUUUCUCAAUGAGAAAUACUUCCAGCACAGCUCAGCACUUCGGAGACGAGGAGAAGAAGCAAGCACCCCCCCUCACCCUCCAGUCUUCCCAUGGGCCCACAGGAGAUGAUAAGGUGAUGUCAUACCUCCGCUUCCUGGG